Molecule: ribosomal RNA, 385 nt
Filed under: uncultured bacterium
Lineage: Bacteria
Description: bacterial SSU rRNA
Rfam family: Bacterial small subunit ribosomal RNA
Source: RNAcentral
AUUGAACGCUGGCGGCAUGCCUUACACAUGCAAGUCGAACGGCAGCGGGCCUUCGGGUGCCGGCGAGUGGCGAACGGGUGAGUAAUGCAUCGGAACGUGCCAUUGAGUGGGGGAUAACGUAGCAAAAGUUACGCUAAUACCGCAUAUUCUGUGAGCAGGAAAGCAGGGGAUCGCAAGACCUUGCGUUCUGGGAGCGGCCGAUGUCGGAUUAGCUAGUUGGUGGGGUAAAAGCCUACCAAGGCGACGAUCCGUAGCGGGUCUGAGAGGAUGAUCCGCCACACUGGGACUGAGACACGGCCCAGACUCCUACGGGAGGCAGCAGUGGGGAAUUUUUGGACAAUGGGCGGAAGCCUGAUCCAGCCAUGCCGCGUGAGUGAAGAAGGCC